AGAGUUUGAUCAUGGCUCAGGACGAACGCUGGCGGCGUGCCUAAUACAUGCAAGUCGAACGCACUGACAGAGAAACUUGUUUCUCUCGACGUGAGUGGCGCACGGGUGAGUAACACGUGGGAAACCUACCCUUCAGCGGGGGAUAACCGUCGGAAACGAUGGCUAAUACCGCAUAGGUCUUUUAACCGCCUGGUUGAAAGAGGAAAGACGGCUUCGGCUGUCACUGAAGGAUGGUCCCGCGGUGCAUUAGCUAGUUGGUAAGGUAACGGCUUACCAAGGCGAUGAUGCAUAGCCGACCUGAGAGGGUGAUCGGCCACAUAGGGACUGAGACACGGCCCAAACUCCUACGGGAGGCAGCAGUAGGGAAUCUUCCGCAAUGGACGCAAGUCUGACGGAGCAACGCCGCGUGUGUGAAGAAGGUCUUCGGAUCGUAAAGCACUGUUAUUAGAGAAGAACAACCGGUAGAGUAACUGUUACCGGCUUGACGGUAUCUAACCAGAAAGCCACGGCUAACUACGUGCCAGCAGCCGCGGUAAUACGUAGGUGGCAAGCGUUGUCCGGAUUUAUUGGGCAUAAAGGGAGCGCAGGCGGUGACUUAAGUCUGAUGUGAAAGCCCACGGCUCAACCGUGGAAGGUCAUUGGAAACUGGGUCACUUGAGUGCAGAAGAGGAAAGUGGAAUUCCAUGUGUAGCGGUGAAAUGCGUAGAUAUAUGGAGGAACACCAGUGGCGAAGGCGAC
RNAcentral lists this ribosomal RNA (738 nucleotides) under uncultured Facklamia sp. Its description in RNAcentral is "bacterial SSU rRNA". It matches the Rfam family "Bacterial small subunit ribosomal RNA", at positions 8 to 725 of the family's 1533-position model. Lineage: Bacteria; Bacillati; Bacillota; Bacilli; Lactobacillales; Aerococcaceae. The record is from RNAcentral.